Molecule: long non-coding RNA, 2209 nt
Organism: Carassius auratus (goldfish)
Lineage: Eukaryota; Metazoa; Chordata; Actinopteri; Cypriniformes; Cyprinidae
Exons: 2
Source: RefSeq, a predicted model, not a curated record
GUGUAAUAUUUGUUCCAGUAGCAGUACACUGGAAAGUGUUGCAACCUGAUCAGUCACGAUAUGCAAUUUAUGCAGUUAAUUCAUAGGUGAAAAGGUUGUUUGGAUGUUAUAUAUUGGUUAAACCAAGAUGCUUAAUGAUUCCGAUGAUAGUUGUUAUUUAACAUCCUUUAACAUCUAAAAAUACACUAAAAGGUUGUGUGGAUGUAAACCAUGAAUAGCAACAAGAGAACAAUAAAUAAAUGUAUUUAGAUAUAUAUUUGCAGUCUUGAGAGUGUAACUGGAAGGUUCAGCUGUAGGAACAAGGAUGCAUAGUCUAUAUAUAAUCGUUCUUUGCUCGUUUAACUGUGCAUUGUGAGAAUACAAACUCUUCUUGGUCUUUAUAAAUAGUAGCCCCGUUGACAAAAUUCCGUCAAUGACGUAGUGCACGCGCGUAGUUGAGUAGGUGAUGCUUUUUAGUGAAUGAGUCCCCCUCCCUCUCCAGCUUACUAGUACUAUCAGAUCUCUAUAAAAAGCGCACGGUAGAUAGAAAAGCGCUUGAGAGCUGCUUGUUUCUACCAGGAAAAAGAAGACAAGACGAGCGUGAUGAGUUCAGACAGUGGCCCAAAUGGAGACACUAAGAACUUCUCAUUAGGCAGUACACCAAGCCAUCCUCCUGGAGCGCCGACAUCUAAUAGACAAGGUACUAGAAAACGGGCAGCCAUCAGAAAAUCGACUGCAUUUUUGGCGAGGACUCUGUGUUUCAAGUAGCUGUUCCGUCUCUCCAUGUGAGCUGACUUCACCUCGAUCUUGCCCAGCAUGACUAUAAUGUGAGUCUUCACCAGUUUGCCAGCACUUCAUGACCUUGGCUCUAGACUGCUUACUGCUUAUGGAGUCCAACAGUACAGUAACAGUCUACAGUCAUGGCUACUGAAGUCUGGCUCCAGCAUCACAAACACACAACACUAAUACAGGGUUUUUGCCUUACAUCUGUAUUACUUUGGUUGUGAUAGAAAAGGGAACGCUGUUAAAAUGCGCAUGCACGCAUUCAUCAGAAAUACUCGGCUGUGACGGCAAACAGUUGUGUAUAUCUGAGCCUGUAUUGGGGGAGUCCUGUGCUAUGGAGGCAUGGCGUUUCAUCUAACAAGCCAAUAGAACUGCACUAUUUCCAGUUACCAUGCCAACACCUACUCUGCUGUCUCCAUGGUGACCGUGGCUUUAGAUUGUUACUGUAGCGAUGGCACAUGGUAACAGUCUACAGCCAUGGUCGCCAAGGGGCAGGUGUUAUAGCAACAACUGAAAGAAUCAGAAAUGAUUCUGGCUGAAUUAUGUUUCAUGUGUGUAACCAGAAACUGUAGCUAAUGGAGGCUUUUCUAAGAAGCAGAAUGAUAUGAUUUCAGAAAGUAGGUCAACGUCUGACUUAUAUAUAUAUAUAUAUAUAUAUAUAUAUAUAUAUAUAUAUAUAUAUUUUUUUUCCUCCUUCUGAAACUCAAUUGAAAGACGUCUCUGUUGACUUCAAAGUAAACAUGCUUUUUCUCAGACUUUGCCUGCUGUAAUACAUCAAAGCUAGAUUGUGAUUCUUUGAAGUUCUUGAUUUGAGACCAAAAAUUUUAUUCUUUGCACAACAUACUUCAAUACAAACAGAUUCGCUUUCCAUUGUAACUGAUGCAUGUACUGUACCAAAAUAUACAAUUGUUUCUCUCUAAUGUUUUCCUGAUGAUUCAGUUUCUUCCCUGAUGGCCAAGUGAUUCAUUCUAAUGUGGAGUGCCAAUGAUUGCUCCUUUCUUUCCAGACAAUUUCCUGUGGAACAAGGAGAGGCAGUUUCAAUAAGGAUAGGGUGAUCGAAUAUUGUUUAAUGUACUGUAUAACUGAUGAAACCAAUACAUUUUUUUUACUGGUUGCAGUGCCAUCUGGUACAGCAGCAGGGCAGUUGUUUUAGUGAAUUCAGAGAGUAAUUAAUACAUAUCCAACUGGCAGGGAUGUCUUGUCUAAAUGUAUUUGAAUCUGCAGUAAUUUUCAGUAGAGGGCAAUAGAACAUGGCCCAAAUGCUAAAAAAAAAAUCCAAGUUUAGCAGUUUAACAUCGCCCUCUUGAGGAGAGAGUUUGUAGUUGCGGAAAACAAUCUGUGGGCAAGUGUUGUGCUUGGUACCAUUUUAUGUAAUAGAAAGAAAUUAUAUUCAGAAAUGUUUUUCAUGAGUUUCUUAAGUAAAUAAAAUAUCAACAUGCAAACACAA